UUCCUUCAAUAACAGCUCAGAGAUCAGCGUGUCCAAUAUCUCAGGAUUGGACCUCUUGCCAUACCUUGGGACACAAAGACACCAGAACGAGACGGAAUUAAGGAAGGAUUAAGCAAGGAUUAUUCAGGUAGCCGCUUCAGUAAAACAAACCAACCCAGCAUGCAUGGAUUAUUGCAUCCCUGCAGGAAAUCAGGAUUCCUUGUCUGCUCCUCAAAUGAUAAAAUGUGGUGGUGAUUUUAACCCUUGCCGACACAUCCACAAAGCUCCUCCCAUCAGAUAGAAGCAGCAACAGGCACAAAGGGCCCGCAGACGCGCCAAAGAAGAGCCGCUCUCGAGCCAUAUAAUCAGUCAGCUCUCUGCGAGGCUGCUCCUGCUCCCUAAGUUGCGCGGAGGAUGCGGUGAGGGUCUUUUGUGUCAUACAGGAUGCGCUGAGAGAUGAGGAA
Long non-coding RNA from Syngnathus acus (greater pipefish), 443 nucleotides. RefSeq lists it as uncharacterized. The transcript is spliced from 4 exons. Lineage: Eukaryota; Metazoa; Chordata; Actinopteri; Syngnathiformes; Syngnathidae. The record is from RefSeq and is a predicted model, not a curated record.